AGAGUUCGAUCCUGGCUCAGGAUGAACGCUGGCGCAUCUUAACACUGCCAGUCGAACGGGAAAGUGGUUGUUUCCAGUGGCGAACGGGUGAGUAACGCGUAAGAACCUGCUCCUUGGGAGGGAACAACAACUGGAAACGGUUGCUAAUACCCCGUAGGCUGAGGAUCAAAGGAGAAUCCGCCCAAGGAGGGGCCUCGCGUCCUGAUUAGCUAUUGGUGAGGCAAUUAGCUUACCAAGCGAAUGACAUUAGCUGUCCAGAUGAUGAUCAGCCCCCCUGGGACUGAGGACACGGCCCAGACUCCUACUGGGGCACAGCAGUGUCGGGAAAUUUUCCGCAUGGGCUAAGCCUGACCGGAUUCAAUGGCCGCGUGGAGGUGGAAGGCCUACGGUCGUAACUUCUUUUCUCGAGAAAACAAUGACGGUAUCUGGGAAUAAGCAUCGGCUAACUCUGUGCCAGCACCGCGGUAAGACAGAGGAUGCAAGCGUUAUCCGGAAUGAUUGGGCGUAAAGCGUCCUGUAGUGGCUUUUCAAGUCCCCGUCAAUCCCAGUGCUCAACCCCGGACAGGCGGUGGAAACUACGCAAGCUGAGUACCGGUAGGGGCAAAGGGAUUUUCCGGUGGAGCGGUGAAAUGCAUUGAGAUCGGAAAGAAACCCCCAACUACACCAACGGCGAAAGCACUUGCUGGGCCGACACUGACACUGAGAGACGAAAGCAGGGAGCAAAUUGGAUUAGAACCCCCGUAGUCCUAGCCUUAAACGAUGGAUACGAGGUGCUGUGCGACUCGCCCCGUGCAUGCUGUAGCUAACGCGUUAAGUAUCCCGCCUCUGGGGAGUACGUUCGCAAGAAUGAAACGUCAAAGGAAUUGGGAAAACGGGGGCCCGCAACAAGCGGUGGAGCAUGUGGUUUAUUCGAUGUCAAAGUCGAAGAACCUUACCAGGCUUGACAUGGCCGCGAAUCCUCUUGACAGAGAGGGGGCCCUCGGAACGCGGACACGGUGGUGCCAUGGCUGUCGUUCAAGCUCGUGCCGUAAGGUGUUGGGUUAGUCUCGCAACUAGCGCAACCCUCGUGUUUAGUUUGCCACUAUGAGUUUGGACGCCUGACAUAACCGCCGGUGUUAAGCCGGGAAGGAGAGAGAGGCCAAGUCCUCAUGCCCCUUAUUCCCUGUGCGACACCGUGCUACAUGGGCGGGACAAAGGUCGCGAGCUCUCGAGGUGAGCUGAACUCCAAAAACCCGUCCUCAAGUUCUGAUUGCCGGCUGCCAACUCGCCUGCAUGAAGCAUGAAUCGCUAUAUCGCCGGGCAGGCCAUACUGCGGUGAAUCCGUUUCCCGGGCCUUGUACACACCCGCCGUCACACUAUCGAGCUGGCCAGGUUUGAAGUGUGUCAUUACCCUUAACCGUAAGGAGGGGGAUGCCAAGGCUGGCUUGCGACUGGAGUGAAGUCGUACAAGGUAGCCGUACUGGAAUGUGCGGCUG
This 1475-nucleotide ribosomal RNA is filed under the name Saccharum spontaneum (wild sugarcane). RNAcentral describes it as "bacterial SSU rRNA". It matches the Rfam family "Bacterial small subunit ribosomal RNA". The record is from RNAcentral. Lineage: Eukaryota; Viridiplantae; Streptophyta; Magnoliopsida; Poales; Poaceae.